CGCCAGCCCGCUCAGAAACUUAAGGAAUUGACGGGGGCCCGCACAAGCGGUGGAGCAUGUGGCUUAAUUCGAUGAUACGCGAGGAACCUUACCUGGGCUCAAAUGUAUGUUGACGUAUUCUGAAAGGGAUACUUCUUCGGACAAUAUACAAGGUGCUGCAUGGUUGUCGUCAGCUCGUGCCGUGAGGUGUCGGGUUAAGUCCCAUAACGAGCGCAACCCCUAUCAUUAGUUGCCAUCAGGUCAAGCUGGGGACUCUAAUGAAACUGCCUACGCAAGUAGUGAGGAAGGUGGGGAUGACGUCAAAUCAGCACGGCCCUUACGUCCAGGGCUACACACGUGCUACAAUGGCCGGUACAAAGGGCAGCUACCUGGUGACAGGAUGCUAAUCUCAAAGGCCGGUCUCAGUUCGGAUCGGAGUCUGCAACCCGACUCCGUGAAGCUGGAAUCGCUAGUAAUCGCGCAUCAGCCAUGGCGCGGUGAAUACGUUCCCGGGCCUU
This 497-nucleotide ribosomal RNA is filed under the name uncultured Sphingobacteriales bacterium. RNAcentral's name for it is "bacterial SSU rRNA". It matches the Rfam family "Bacterial small subunit ribosomal RNA", at positions 904 to 1382 of the family's 1533-position model. Lineage: Bacteria; Pseudomonadati; Bacteroidota; Sphingobacteriia; Sphingobacteriales. The record is from RNAcentral.